Phalacrocorax carbo (great cormorant) is the source of this 2167-nucleotide non-coding RNA. The record is from RefSeq and is a predicted model, not a curated record. NCBI's taxonomy places the organism in Eukaryota, Metazoa, Chordata, Aves, Suliformes, Phalacrocoracidae.
GGGAGGUGAAAGGGAGGUAGCAGAGGAUGGGGCUGGCAUCCUGGGACCGCGGGGGAAAGCUCUAAUUCUUACACCCCCUUCCCCUCUGACUCCACUUUUCAUUCAUGAGUGGUGAUUCACUGUUGUCUCUUAUUAUUCUUUCUCCUGUGUAUGGAUUUAAAGCACCCAGUCAGUAUGGAAAAUAGCAUCCCACGUAAAUGUCAUCUGCUCUGUGGAGAAAAAACAAGAAGAUCGUAAAGUUUCAGCAAAUCUAUGCCAGCCUUACUGCACAGGAUGCUUCCCAGGACAGACCUCUAGAGCAGAGCUGUCCCUCUGUUCUUCCAUGGCCAUCUCCUCCCACUGCAGCUGGUUCUUGAACAGGAAUCCAACUGAAGCAGCAAGUGUAGUUUCCAAAGCACAACUCACGUGGAAACAUGAAGCAUAUUUAAUUUAGGCAUAUUCUCAGAGCUUCUUUGCUGCGGAGAGAGCUUGCUCAAGGCUGCCAUGAUGCUUUGUAGAUCAUGCACCAUGAGAAACAGUGGUUGUGCUUAUACCUUUGUGGAGUUGUGGCUUCCAGCUCACUGUGGACUUGGCAGUGAGUCCCUGCUGGUGAUUUUGCUGUCUGUAUUAGUUAUUAGUCAGCUGGCUGGGAGUUCUGAUGCAAUCUUUGUACUGGUGUGAAAGUAGCAGCAUAUCACGUGGCAGGAGAACAUUCAUGCAAAAUUACCUUGUACUCUCUGCAAGAAUGAAGACAGUAUGACUUUUGCAUCUAAAUACAAUGAUGCUUUCAUGACAGAAAACUGUCUCUCAGACCCUCCACCUGGGUGGGUGUGUACAGCUACAAGAACUACCUUCACACAAACAUUGCAGAGAGGAGUUGUUACUGACAGCUGAAUAAAAGGCUGCCGAAAACAAAAGCCAUAGGCCUUACACCCACGGCAUGCAAGAAUGGUUUUCACAUACUGCCAUCUGUCGCUACAGUGUGCCUGUUUAUCACUACACUAUGCCGCUGGGGUUUUUAUUCCAGCAAUAAGCAUAUCCCUUCCAAGAAGUCUGUUAAAAGUGCAGUUAAGUUUGAAGAACUGCUUUAAUUCAUACAUGCUCUGCCUGAGACAGCAUACAAUGAGAUCCUAACAAUUCUGCUUUCAAUUGUGGCAAUAGCCAAAUGAGUGUUGUUUUUUCUCCCACUUAUUUCAAUAGUAAGCUUCUAUCUUUAUUCAGACCAGUGUUCUAAAUCAGCAGUAAAUUUACAGCAAAACGUAUACACACAUAUCACAAACUUUGCAUAUAUUUAUACACAUCAAAAUUAUAAAAGAUUGUGUCAGUGCAUGAAUACAUUUACAUGUACUGCCCUACUUUAAUUUAGAGUGCCAUUUCAAAAUGUAUGUUUCGUUGUGGUUUGCAUAUAUAUAAACUAUGGAUUUGAGUCCAAAAUCUGAUCAGUGAGCACCUCGUUCCCUAAAUCUGUAUUACAAAAAACAGAACAUAAUGUUUUAGAAGCUGUCAGGAAAGUAAAACGAUUUGUAUGUAAUCGAAGAAGGGGUGCUCACUGCACGUUGGAGAGCAAUCCUAAAGCAGUCAGGCACACACGGCUCUCAGAUACACAGUGACAAACCACUUGGCAAGUUGCUAAAAACAGCAUUCAGGCUAAAGGUAUUUAAAACCUGCGCGCACCCCCUGUCCGAAAGGGAAUCUCCUGCCUUGGAUACUUAUCUGUAGUUCAGUAGAACUAGGCCAAUUCCUAGCUCUUAAUUCCUCUACAACCUGGAGCAGCUCUCUUUAAGCUCUACCCCCACAGCUCAUCUGCCCAGCAGAGCUAAUUAUGUUCCUUUCUCUCCUGCCUAUUUGAUUUGCAAGGUCUACAGGCAUAGAUGUCUCUAUGUACAUAUUGGCAUACAGGCUCACGACUGUUUUGUGCUUGGCAUCAUCUGAAUGUGACCUAAAUGUUUCUAGAUCUAAGCUGACCAGUAAAAAGCCUCACUCUCAGGACCUAGAGCAGCAUGCCCCAGCCCCCGACCUGCAAAUGUCACAGCAAGAGGCACAGUCCAGGAUCAGCAUACAGCCUGGAUGAAUUUCUCACGAAGUUGACAGUACAAGCAGAGGGCAGUAUUUCUGUGGCCAAAGAGAGCAAAAUAAGCACGGUAUUGAAGCAGAAGUGGUGAUAAUUAAAUAUCGUGUGAAAGCAGCU